UUCCAGACUCCUACGGGAGGCAGCAGUGGGGGAUAUUGCACAAUGGGGGGAACCCUGAUGCAGCGACGCCGCGUGGGUGAAGGAGUAUUUCGGUAUGUAAAGCUCUAUCAGCAGGGAAGAAGAUGACGGUACCUGAGUAAGAAGCCCCGGCUAACUACGUGCCAGCAGCCGCGGUAAUACGUAGGGGGCAAGCGUUAUCCGGAUUUACUGGGUGUAAAGGGAGCGUAGACGGCUGCGCAAGUCUGAAGUGAAAGCCCGGGGCUCAACCCCGGGACUGCUUUGGAAACUGUGUAGCUAGAGUGCUGGAGAGGCAAGCGGAAUUCCUAGUGUAGCGGUGAAAUGCGUAGAUAUUAGGAAGAACACCAGUGGCGAAGGCGGCUUGCUGGACAGUAACUGACGUUGAGGCUCGAAAGCGUGGGGAGCAAACAGGAUUAGAUACCCCCGUAC
Molecule: ribosomal RNA, 447 nt
Filed under: uncultured bacterium
Lineage: Bacteria
Description: partial 16S ribosomal RNA
Rfam family: Bacterial small subunit ribosomal RNA
Source: RNAcentral